AUGCCACCAUGGGAGCGCUUCCGGGAGCUCUGUCUCCUCCGGUUCGGGCCUCCUAUCCGCGGGAGCCGACUGGCGGCCCUCGGCCGCUUACCUUUCACAUCCACGGUGCAGGACUACGCCGACCGCUUCCAGGCCCUGGCGUGCCACGCGCCGGGCGUCUCCGCCACUCAGCGCGCCGAGUUAUUUGUGGGCGGUCUACCGGACCAUAUCCGCAUGGACGUGGAGCUUCGGGGACCCCAGGAUCUCCAGUCGGCCAUGUAUUACGCCCGCGCGUUCGAGUGCCGCGCGGUGGCCAUCCAGCAGGAAUCACCGUCCCAGACUACUGGGUCGCUACCCGGACCGGAUUCCGCGCAGGGUCGGCCUGUGCAGGCUUCUGCGGCACCCCUCGCCGCGACCGCGGGGCGCCCGUUCCGCCGGCUCACCCCAGCUGAGAUACUCGAGGGUCGCCGCCAAGGGUUGUGCUUCAACUGCGACGAACCCUACAAGCCCGGCCACGCCUGCCCGCGACUCUUCUACCUGGAGGUGGCAGACUACAUUCCGGAGGACAUCGUCGCCGCUGACCUGGCCGCCCCAGAUGUCGAGAAGGUGUUUGACGCUGGUUGA
This 603-nucleotide ribosomal RNA is filed under the name Triticum aestivum (bread wheat). RNAcentral's name for it is "partial small subunit ribosomal RNA". Lineage: Eukaryota; Viridiplantae; Streptophyta; Magnoliopsida; Poales; Poaceae. The record is from RNAcentral.